Pezoporus occidentalis (night parrot) is the source of this 483-nucleotide long non-coding RNA. RefSeq lists it as uncharacterized. The transcript has 4 exons. Lineage: Eukaryota; Metazoa; Chordata; Aves; Psittaciformes; Psittacidae. The record is from RefSeq and is a predicted model, not a curated record.
UGAUGGGGUUUGCCUGUUUCAGGCAAACAGGUUUGUUAAAUCCACACAACCUUCUGCUCCGAAAGAAACCCUUGAAGCAAAAGGCUGGCUUCCACCCAGAUUUAAAAGAGGAGAUUGCUUUUCAAUGGGCUGCGUUAGCAGGAGUCUGUGGCCAGCUGAGUUUUGGUUGAUAGGAAUCACUCCAGAACUUGAAGAAGGGAAAAGUCUCUCCUGGAAAGCAUCCUAAAUGUAUUUAAUGUGGGAUAAGCUUGUGACUCCACACUGAUCUACCUGCUCUCCUGCUGGGAAGAAUGAUCUUCCUGGUAAGGCAACAGCAGUUAGGAGGAGCAAUGAAUUGGAAACUGCUGAAACUGUGGAUCUCCUAGACCUUUUUUCUCAAUCCAUGAGCCCAUCACUAACGUAUCAUAGAACAGCCCAGGCUGGAAGGAACUUCGAAAGAUCAUCGGAUUCAGCCUUUCAUGGGAAAUGGAGCCUAGAUGAAAU